AUGAUCCCGAGGAGACAUAUAGUUCAUCAUUUGGUGUACUUGCUUCUAAAAUUGGUAUUGAUUCUACCGGUGGCAACAACAAAUGUUGAGAGAGCAUUUUCUGCCAUGAGUAUAGUCGAGAGCAAGUUGAGAAAUAAGACGGGUGAUAUUCUUUUGGAUAUUUGCCUAGUCACAUACAUUGAGAGGGAUGCUUUUGCUGAGGUGAAUGCAGAUGAUAUAAUUGAUACUUUCAUGUCAAUGCAAAAGCAUAGGCCAAAACAUAGUAUUUUCGAGCUUCUCAAGAUAUGUACUAUGGUCCAUAUAGUAUGUACUAUGUAUGCUUCUUUAUGCAAAACUUAUACUUAA
This 345-nucleotide ribosomal RNA is filed under the name Triticum aestivum (bread wheat). Its description in RNAcentral is "partial small subunit ribosomal RNA". Lineage: Eukaryota; Viridiplantae; Streptophyta; Magnoliopsida; Poales; Poaceae. The record is from RNAcentral.